Molecule: non-coding RNA, 506 nt
Filed under: Pan troglodytes (chimpanzee)
Lineage: Eukaryota; Metazoa; Chordata; Mammalia; Primates; Hominidae
Source: RNAcentral
GCGGGGCGGGCGGGGUCUGGGAGCCUGGAGGAAGCGAGAGCUUUGGCGCAGGCCGCCUGCGCGCUGUGCCAGGAAGGCGCUUGGAGAAAAUGUCCGGCCCCGCGACCUGGGACAGGAAGUGAUGGAGCACGGACUUAGUUUGCCUUUCAGUUCUUGUAUAAAUAGUUUUGAGGGUUGUCUCUGAAUUUUCACCCAGUUGUCUACCAAGAGCCAAGGACGUGGUCUUUUAUCAGUGGCACCUGAGACUUUCUUCCCUGUGGACGCAAAUCCAUUAUUCAGCACUCUGGGCACAGCUACAGAUCUGAUCAGCUAUCCAUUCUCCAAACUAUCUCAUCCUCUGUCCCAUUUUUCUGUCUCUCUUGUCCACAAGGCAUAUACCUGAGAGUUUUCAAAUUCCUCAGAGAAAUUUAGCUGUUCUGUGGCUUUGGCAUUCACCUAAUGUGUUAAUCUACAAACCUUUUUUACAGUGUGGAUUUUUUUUUCAUGAUGUGAAUUCAAGUGGUUUC